AUGGAUCUUUCCAAAAGAGAUACAGCUAAUAUCACUCACUCGUCUCGUUCUGCAGAGGAUUGAGAUAGCUUCCCUGGUAAAUAGACCUCCGGUGCUGUUUUCGGAGGAGUCUCCAAAAACAGUCUUAACUCUACAUUCACCAUUAAAUAAAAGAGGAUUUCUAUGAAAUAAAAGCAAAACAAAGGAACAACUAUGAUUUAUCUCGCUGGUUACACCACCACUGCCGUCGGAAUCAAUAAUCGGGUACCAAUUUCUUUGACAUCAAUUAUACCAAACAGCACGGUUUUGUCACGCUACGUCGUCGUAUUUAAGUUCAGUAGCUCCUCUGAACCAGUUUGGACAGAUUAUCCCAUAGAGAACGCUUACGAGCUUUUAGGAAUAUCAGAAACAAGCUCAUUGGUUGAGAUCAAAGCGUCGUUUCGCAAAUUGGCGAAAGAAACUCACCCUGACCUCGCUGAUUCAAGGAACGAUUCCACUGCGUCUCGACGAUUCGUUCAAAUCCUUGCUGCUUAUGAGAUUCUUUCAGAUUCUCGGAAGAGAGCCCAUUAUGACAUGUACUUAUAUUCUCAGAAAAAGCUUAUGCAGAAGCGUUCUGAACAGGGUUCAAAAUUGCGCAUUUACGAAUCACAGGCUACGGCAUUCAAGGAGAUGGAAGUUGUUGAAUGGUUAAGGUGGUACAGAUUAGCUAUAAGUGAUAUUUUGUCAGAGAAGAAGGUGGUGGUUGGAACAGGAUAUUUUGAUAUUCUUGAGAGAGAUUUUUAUUCUGCCAUUCAUGCAGCAUACUAUGGUCCCGAAAUUGAUUCUAUCCCCAUGGAGCUUCUUCCUGACUGUUUUGAGGCUGAGGAGAGGUCCUCUUAUGAAACUCCUGAGGUUUUACACUUGGUUUCAGGCCGUGAUCUUUUUGGGAUGGUUUGCCUAGUCAACAAGACUCCAGAGAUAUCAUCUACUGAAAGUGAAAAGUUAACUUCUUAUAGAUCCUUCCAUUCAGGCCUUUGUCAAUCUAUAACGGAUGUUAACAUUCACAGGCAUGUACAAAUGCCAGAUGAUUUUGGAACUCAACAAGGUCACAGCUCUAAAAUUUCAAGCAAUGUAUCAGAUGCGUAUAGAGAUCUAGAAUUGCAUGUUUCCGGAAAAUUAGUUGCUACGGCAUCUAGGGUCCUACCCAGAUGUUGUUCUGGUGUGAUGCAAAAAGAAGAUGAUGAAGAUCACAUUCACGUGUUCCUUAAUUCAGAUGAAGAUCCUAGACAUAUCAGUAGUAGCUUUUCAAGAAAUUUAUUUGCAAAUAGCACAGUUGGAAGCAAAAUGCAUUUGGGAACCAUAUCUGGACUUGGGAGCAGUCCAGACGAAGGAUGUUGUUAUGUCUACAACAGUAGUCGUGAAAAGACCCAUGUGAUUAUGAAACAUCGAACAUUGUUGGUGAAGCAUAUGCACUGGUAUCAUGUGGGUGAGAAAGUUUCAGUUUGCGAGUGUAGAUGCACGAGAGCAUGUUUACCACCAAGCAAUUAUACAGAUUUUGGCUAUUUGAGCCUCGUUGUGGCUUUCAUGACAUAGGGGGUUGGUAUGUUGAAACAUAUGGCAAAGAUAAGAAGGGUCGUACUAUACUAUCGCAAAGGUUCUGGGAUGGAUUGGAUUAUAGCGAGCAAGCUGAAAAAAGACUUCAUCCAGCAAUGUAUCUGUUUGCUCUUGCAUAUCGAACACUUGAUCUUGAAUAUGCCAAAACAAGCAAGAAAACAUUUAGGAAAGCCGUUGGAGCACAUAUGUUCCGAAUUCUUCACUGGUGCAGGAAACUUGCUAAAUAGAAGAUUUCCCUGUAUAUUUACAACCACACAACGACUCUUGGGAGUGAUACUCUAAAAGUACCUAAAGGAAAACUCAUCAGAGGCCUCACUUAGUCUUAUCUACUUAGUUGGAGAAAAUUCAUCUUUUGAUCUUCCUGGUGCUGUGAUCUAUUGGCCAAAUACUGAACUCAAUUGGUCAAGGACUAGCUGCUGGUGCUGCUAUAAUACUCAAGAAACCAAUGCCUUGCCUGAGCCUAGUUGCACGGCGUUGAUUUUGUCAAAAAUGCUCUCUGUAGCUACUUACCUCAGCAUUGUUAUGAAAGACUGAAUUUCAGACAAGAGGUCACUAAUCCUGCUGAAAGGAUUCUGAGGUUUACUAUGGGAAGAAAUUUAGACUUUUUUUUUGUUCAUAAUGGACGAAUAAAUUCUCUUUCUGCUGUUUUUCAAAGAACCCCAACAGAAUCUUUGUCGAUAUAUAUAUAUAUGGGGUUGUAUAUGUGUACCAUACCUUUGCAGAAGCCUAAAUGCCCCCAAAACAAAAUUCUUUAUUUUGGCAA
Molecule: RNA transcript, 2335 nt
Organism: Cicer arietinum (chickpea)
Lineage: Eukaryota; Viridiplantae; Streptophyta; Magnoliopsida; Fabales; Fabaceae
Source: RefSeq, a predicted model, not a curated record